AGCAAACUACAUUGCCAUUUAAGCCUAUCAAAAAAGGGAAAAAGAAAAACCCUUGGUCUGAUUCUGAAUCAGAUAUGAGCAGUAACGAAAGUAAUUUUGAUGUCCCUCCACGAGAGAAAGAGCCAAGAAUUGCUGCAACAAAAGCCAAAUUCACGGCGGAUUUAGACUCUGAUGACGAUUUCUCAGGCUUGGAUGAGAAGGAUGAGGAUGAAGAUUUCUUCCCAUUAGAUGAUACUCCACCUAAGACCAAAAUGCCCCCAAAAAAUACUAAAAAAGCACUGAAGCCACAGAAGAGCUCCACAUCAGGUAUGCUUGUGGGUAGGAUCAUUAGAGCUGCACAUCGGGUAUGCAUGUGGACAGAAUCAUUCAGUGCUUAGAAGAUGGCUCGGUCAGUCCUGUGUGUGCUACCCAAGGGUGAGGACCUGAGUUCUGCCCACAGCACCCGAAUAAACCCGUAAUCCUUAGUGCUCAGGACUUAGAGGAAGGAGGUUUGUAAGUUCAGAGCCAACUUGUGCAAAGCUCUGUGCCCCAAAAAGUAAAAAACUUAAAUUCAACUAAGUUCUAAGAUUAUUUAAAAUAGUCCAAGCAAGUUAGGAUGGGAAUACAUAGCAGCAGUGCAAUGUUUGAAAUUGUUAUCAUGACCAAACAUUUUCCUUCCUGUUUGAAGUUGAUCUUGAAAGUGAUGGGAAAGACAGUGUGCCAGCUUCUCCAGGCGCUUCUGCUGCUGACGUCCCAGCUGAGACUGAACCCUCCAAGCCGUCCUCCAAACAGACAGUGGGAGUGAAGAGGACAAUAACCAAAGGUCAGUCUUUAACCUCCACUGCUGGCACCAAAAAGAGAGCUGUACCAAAGGAGACCAAGUCAGAUUCAGCCUUGAAUGCUCAUGUCUCCAAAAAGCCUGCUCCUGCCAAAGCCAAGAACAGUCGCAAGAGGAAGCCAUCUUCUUCUGACAGCUCGGACUCUGAGUUUGAGAAGGCGAUUUCUAAAGGUGCCACAAGCAAGAAACCCAAGGGAGAGGAGCGGGAUUUCCAUGUGGACUUAGAUGACACUG
Molecule: long non-coding RNA, 1051 nt
Filed under: Rattus norvegicus (Norway rat)
Lineage: Eukaryota; Metazoa; Chordata; Mammalia; Rodentia; Muridae
Description: long non-coding RNA NONRATT005984
Source: RNAcentral